This 251-nucleotide ribosomal RNA is filed under the name uncultured bacterium. Its description in RNAcentral is "partial 16S ribosomal RNA". It matches the Rfam family "Bacterial small subunit ribosomal RNA", at positions 524 to 776 of the family's 1533-position model. The record is from RNAcentral.
UACGUAGGGGGCAAGCGUUGUCCGGAGUUACUGGGCGUAAAGCGCACGCAGGCGGUCUCUUAAGUUUGGAGUGACAGUUGGUGGCUUAACUGCCAAAGUGCUUCGAAAACUGAGAGACUUGAGGGCUUCAGAGGGACACGGAAUCCGGGUGGAGUGGUGAAAUGCGUAGAGAUCCGGAGGAACACCAAAGGCGAAGGCAGUGUCCUGGGGAGUACCUGACGCUCAGGUGCGAAAGCCAGGGAGCGAACGGG